RNAcentral lists this ribosomal RNA (492 nucleotides) under uncultured bacterium. RNAcentral describes it as "partial 16S ribosomal RNA". It matches the Rfam family "Bacterial small subunit ribosomal RNA", at positions 29 to 507 of the family's 1533-position model. The record is from RNAcentral.
AGUGAACGCUGGCGGUAGGCCUAACACAUGCAAGUCGAACGGCAGCACAGUAAGAGCUUGCUCUUACGGGUGGCGAGUGGCGGACGGGUGAGGAAUACAUCGGAAUCUACUUUUUCGUGGGGGAUAACGUAGGGAAACUUACGCUAAUACCGCAUACGACCUACGGGUGAAAGCAUGGGAUCUUCGGACCUUGCGCGAAUGAAUGAGCCGAUGUCGGAUUAGCUAGUUGGCGGGUUAAAGGCCCACCAAGGCGACGAUCCGUAGCUGGUCUGAGAGGAUGCUCAGCCACACUGGAACUGAGACACGGUCCAGGCUCCUACGGGAGGCAGCAGUGGGGAAUAUUGGACAAUGGGCGCAAGCCUGAUCCAGCCAUACCGCGUGGGUGAAGAAGGCCUUCGGGUUGUAAAGCCCUUUUGUUGGGAAAGAAAAGCAGCAGGUUAAUACCACGCUGUUCUGACGGUACCCAAAGAAUAAGCACCGGCUAACUUCGUG